GCGUAAAGGUUUGUGAUAAGAUUUGUCAACCCGUCCCGUCCUAGUUAGUUUAGUUUAGUUUAGUUUAGCUGCCCCUCAACUCAUUUUUGCCCCCCUUGGAUCGUCUGGUCUGCAACCCCCGGCCCGGCCCUCACCCGUCUUAUUUUGGUUUUCCCCCAAUUCCUAGUUUCAAUUAGAGCUACUGCUGCCGCUGCUGCUGCUGCUGGGCUGGGGAUCCGCUGCUGCAACGAUACCAAAGUCGAGAAUAAUUCAAGAUUACUGCACUACUGCUUUCAUACAGGAAUAGAAUUCUCUCUCUCUCUCUCUCUGAUUGGACUGACUGAUAUUAUUAUUGCUUUUAUUAGAACAGGCAAAAUAAUAAGAAUCCGGGGAGGGAGAGUGAUUGUUGAUUAUUAGCAGUAGGAAGUUAGGGAGGGAGAGGAUAAUUAGCAGCAAUGAAGUCAUCGUUGGGGAAGCAGCUCAAAAGAUUUACACUGCAAAAGACCCACCAUGCCAAGGAUAACAAGGAUCACCAAUCCCUGGCGCAUUCCGAUGCGCUCGCCCAGGCUUCUCAGGAUAUGAAAGACAUGAGGGAUUGCUGUGAUAGUUUUCUUUCUGCAGCUGCUGCAACCACAAAUAGUGCUAUGAAUUUUCAGAGUCUUUGCUGGAAAUGGGUAACUGUCUACUGGAGAGGACUGCAUUCAACAGUGACGGAGAAUGUGGCAGAGCAUUGUCAAUACUGGGAAAAGUACAGCUGGAACUCCAGAAACUUGUUGAUGGCUAUCGUUCUCACGUAAUCCUGACUAUCACGAACCCAUCAGAGUCUCUUCUUUCUGAGCUGCGGAAAGUGGAGGAGAUGAAACAGCAGUGUGAUGAAAAAAGGAGCAUAUAUGAACACAUGGUGGCACGACAUAGUGAAAAAGGAAAGUCUAAAGGUGGAAAAGGAGAAAGUUUUACGUCAGAGCAAGUACAAGCAGCUCGUGAAGAUUAUGAUGAAGUGGCAAGGCUAUGUGUUUUUCGUGUAGAAUCCUUGAAGCAAGGUCAGUGCCGCAGUCUUUUAACGCAAGCUGCUCGUCACCAUGCAGCACAGUUGAUUUUUUUCCGUAGAGGACUUAAAUCUCUUGCCGCAGUUGAGCCCUACAUGAGAAAUGUUGCUCAAAAGCAACACAUUGAUUACCAACUGAGUGAGUUAGAGGAUGCAGAAUAUCGGGAGGAUGGAGUUAACAGUGAUGAUACUAAUUGUGAUGGAGAAUUGAGUUUUGACAACUUAGAGUUUAAGCAAGAACAGGAAAAUCCUAGCACAUCAAGGAACUCAAUGGAGGUGGAAGUAGUCCAGGCAGAUGCUCCAAUUGCACAGGUUUCAGAAUUUGAUGAUCUAGAGAUCAAUUUUCGGAGAAAGAAAGGGGAGCAGGGUUUUAGCAGGAAGCCUCGAAUAAGCAGUUUUUCCGCUCCAAUAUAUGCUGGGAAGUUUGAUCCAUCUGAAAAGUUUAAAGAAAUGCAGACACCAGUCCAGAAAUUUCAUGCAUAUGCGCUACCAACUCCUUCAGAUGCAAGGAGUUUAAAUUCAAGGACAAGCAGUUACGCUGUCCAUUCAAGUACUGCUAGUGUUAGUGGAAGCGCCAACAAUGUGUGGCAUUCAUCACCACUUGAUGCUGAGAAGCACAGGAAAUUAAUGGUAGAUAACUUGGCAAUGCGCACAGCCUCCAAAACACAGGCUGCCAUAAAAGAGAGUGACCAAAAUAGUCCCUCCAUUCCACUCCCGUCCCCUUUAGCAGAAGGAGCUUCACUCCCACAAUCUGAUACAAACUAUGAUGCCAAAAAAAUUGAACGACAGGCUCUCUCUGGUCCAUUGCUGAGUAAGCCAUCAUCUAGCAAACCUUUGUUAUCUAGCAGUGGGCCCAUUGGCCCUAGUGAACUGCCACAAGCAGUAUCUGGACUGGUUUCUAGAGUUUCAACCUCCCAGCCGCCUUCAGCUAUAAAUGUGCCUCAGAGUGUUUCACCUCCUCAUGUGUCUUCACCUAAAAUAAGUGAGCUUCACGAGCUGCCUCGUCCUCCUGGUUCUUUAGCCAGCAAACCAGCAAGUUCUUCUGGUGUUAUUGGGCACUCUGCCCCUCUAAUUAACAGAAAUCGGGAAGUCUCGCCGACAAAUCGGAGUUUUGUGCUGGCAUCUAAUGCAGGAUCUCCACUUCCCCUCCUCCUCUGACUGUUCCUCGAAGUUUCUCCAUACCAUCAAGCGAUCAUAGAGUAGCUGUAUUUCAUGUUUCCAAGUUGAUGGAAUCCCCUGAGAUGAAAGAAAAGGCUGGAGUGCCUUCUCCUCCAUUAACACCACUUUCCUUAUCUAAUGUGAAGUCAACGGCUGUUGUAUCUGAACUAGCCUCCAAUCCAGGCAGAUAAGAGGAAUCAGCUGAUGCCCGACGUCCACUUUGGAUUUCAUUGGGCGGACUCUGCAUCUUACUUGCUGCGCCUCGGCCGGGGGGUGUAAAUAUGCAGAUUGACUACUGUAGUUUAUAUCUGAUUUUUCUCCAAUUCUUUCAAAGUCUAAACUAGAGAACUCGUCUAUCGAAAUUUUGACUUGUAGUGUUGUAUCAUAUGUUCUAGUCGAAGAUGGGAAGAAAUAUGGAUGUCAUGAAUGGAGUUUUUCAAAAAAAAAAAAAAGAAAAAAAGAAAGAAAGGAGGAUUUAUUUUUGGCAAGUGAAAGCAUACCAUUACCAUGGAUGUGUUUUUGAUGAUGAGGAAAAGAAAACUAAAGUAAAGUGUGGUUGUACUCUUCCGAUCGUCGAGCAUGUGAAUGGAGAAUGAAUCCAACAAGCCAACUUUCUCAUUCUGUGAUUGAUUGUAAGUUGUAACGAGGAGGAGGAGGAGGAGCAUGGUUUAUACUAAUAGAAAUUUAGUAAGACAAGCGUAGAAUGGUUAUUGUGUUUAAACGUACUUUAUUGAACCUCUCACAUUUUGUACCCUUCAACUAUGCUAUACUACAUUUUGAAUUCCUGUUUUAA
Coffea arabica (coffee) is the source of this 2975-nucleotide non-coding RNA. NCBI's taxonomy places the organism in Eukaryota, Viridiplantae, Streptophyta, Magnoliopsida, Gentianales, Rubiaceae. The record is from RefSeq and is a predicted model, not a curated record.